CUAUGCGCCUUGCCAGCCGCUCAGGUGUGCCAGCGCCGCGGUAAUACAGAGGUCUCAAGCGUUGUUCGGAAUCACUGGGCGUAAAGCGUGCGUAGGCGGUUUCGUAAGUCGUGUGUGAAAGGCGGGGGCUCAACCCCCGGACUGCACAUGAUACUGCGAGACUAGAGUAAUGGAGGGGGAACCGGAAUUCUCGGUGUAGCAGUGAAAUGCGUAGAUAUCGAGAGGAACACUCGUGGCGAAGGCGGGUUCCUGGACAUUAACUGACGCUGAGGCACGAAGGCCAGGGGAGCGAAAGGG
Molecule: ribosomal RNA, 297 nt
Filed under: uncultured bacterium
Lineage: Bacteria
Description: partial 16S ribosomal RNA
Rfam family: Bacterial small subunit ribosomal RNA
Source: RNAcentral